RNAcentral lists this ribosomal RNA (510 nucleotides) under uncultured Glomus. RNAcentral describes it as "SSU rRNA". It matches the Rfam family "Eukaryotic small subunit ribosomal RNA", at positions 569 to 1081 of the family's 1831-position model. Lineage: Eukaryota; Fungi; Glomeromycota; Glomeromycetes; Glomerales; Glomeraceae. The record is from RNAcentral.
AGCAGCCGCGGUAAUUCCAGCUCCAAUAGCGUAUAUUAAAGUUGUUGCAGUUAAAAAGCUCGUAGUUGAACUUCGGGAUCAAGGAAUCGGUCAUGCCUUGGUAUGUACUGGUUUUAUUGGUUCUCACCUUCUAAAGAACCAUAAUGUCAUUCAUUUGAUGUUAUGGGGAAUUAGGACUGUUACCUUGAAAAAAUUAGAGUGUUUAAAGCAGGCUUACGCUUGAAUACAUUAGCAUGGAAUAAUGAAAUAGGACAUCCGAUUCUAUUUUGUUGGUUUCUAGGAUCGAUGUAAUGAUUAAUAGGGAUAGUUGGGGGCAUUAGUAUUCAAUUGUCAGAGGUGAAAUUCUUGGAUUUAUUGAAGACUAACUACUGCGAAAGCAUUUGCCAAGGAUGUUUUCAUUAAUCAAGAACGAAAGUUAGGGGAUCGAAGACGAUCAGAUACCGUCGUAGUCUUAACCAUAAACUAUGCCGACUAGGGAUCGGAUGAUGUUAAUUUUAUAAUGACUCAUUC